Molecule: ribosomal RNA, 440 nt
Filed under: uncultured Janthinobacterium sp.
Lineage: Bacteria; Pseudomonadati; Pseudomonadota; Betaproteobacteria; Burkholderiales; Oxalobacteraceae
Description: bacterial SSU rRNA
Rfam family: Bacterial small subunit ribosomal RNA
Source: RNAcentral
GGAAUUUUGGACAAUGGGCGAAAGCCUGAUCCAGCAAUGCCGCGUGAGUGAAGAAGGCCUUCGGGUUGUAAAGCUCUUUUGUCAGGGAAGAAACGGUGAAGGCUAAUAUCCUUUGCUAAUGACGGUACCUGAAGAAUAAGCACCGGCUAACUACGUGCCAGCAGCCGCGGUAAUACGUAGGGUGCAAGCGUUAAUCGGAAUUACUGGGCGUAAAGCGUGCGCAGGCGGUUUUGUAAGUCUGAUGUGAAAUCCCCGGGCUCAACCUGGGAAUUGCAUUGGAGACUGCAAGGCUAGAAUCUGGCAGAGGGGGGUAGAAUUCCACGUGUAGCAGUGAAAUGCGUAGAUAUGUGGAGGAACACCGAUGGCGAAGGCAGCCCCCUGGGUCAAGAUUGACGCUCAUGCACGAAAGCGUGGGGAGCAAACAGGAUUAGAUACCCCGG